GAUGAACGCUGGCGGCGUGCCUAACACAUGCAAGUCGAACGAAACUUCUUUAUCUCCUAGUGCUUGCACUCACCGAUAAAGAGUUGAGUGCCGAACGGGUGAGUAACACGUCGGCAACCUGCCCUAAAGCGGGGGAUAACCCUUGGAAACAGGUGCUAAUACCGCAUAAUCAUAGUUACCGCAUGGUACCUAUGUAUAAGGUAGCUAUCCUACCGCUCUUGGAUGGAUACGUGGCGCAUUAGCUAGUUGGUCGGGUAUAGGCUUACGAUGGCAAGGAUGCGAAGCCGAAAUGAGAGGGAGGACGGACACAUUGGGAGUGAGACACAGCCCAAACACCGAGAGGAGGCAGCAGUAGAGAAUCUUCCACGAUGGGCGAGAGGCUAAUGGAGCAACGCGGCGUGGGUGAAGAAGGUGUUCGGAUCGGAAAGCGCUGUAGGUAGUGAGGAAGUAGCGUGAGAUUAACUGUGAACAUAUCGACGGUAUCGAAACAGAAAGCCACGGCUAACUACGUG
This 512-nucleotide ribosomal RNA is filed under the name uncultured bacterium. RNAcentral describes it as "partial 16S ribosomal RNA". It matches the Rfam family "Bacterial small subunit ribosomal RNA", at positions 28 to 507 of the family's 1533-position model. The record is from RNAcentral.